RNAcentral lists this ribosomal RNA (522 nucleotides) under uncultured fungus. Its description in RNAcentral is "eukaryotic LSU rRNA". The stretch from base 163 to 316 matches the Rfam family "5.8S ribosomal RNA". Lineage: Eukaryota; Fungi. The record is from RNAcentral.
GGAGGGAUCAUUACCGAGUUUACAACUCCCAAACCCCUGUGAACAUACCUAUACGUUGCCUCGGCGGAUCAGCCCGCGCCCCGUAAAACGGGACGGCCCGCCCGAGGACCCCUAAACUCUGUUUUUAGUGGAACUUCUGAGUAAAACAAACAAAUAAAUCAAAACUUUCAACAACGGAUCUCUUGGUUCUGGCAUCGAUGAAGAACGCAGCAAAAUGCGAUAAGUAAUGUGAAUUGCAGAAUUCAGUGAAUCAUCGAAUCUUUGAACGCACAUUGCGCCCGCCAGUAUUCUGGCGGGCAUGCCUGUUCGAGCGUCAUUUCAACCCUCAAGCUCAGCUUGGUGUUGGGACUCGCGGUAACCCGCGUUCCCCAAAUCGAUUGGCGGUCACGUCGAGCUUCCAUAGCGUAGUAAUCAUACACCUCGUUACUGGUAAUCGUCGCGGCCACGCCGUUAAACCCCAACUUCUGAAUGUUGACCUCGGAUCAGGUAGGAAUACCCGCUGAACUUAAGCAUAUCAAUAAG